UAGGGCCACAUCACAUUUGAAAUACCGGUUCCCAUACAAUCAUGAAGUUAAGCAACAUCGAACCUGGUCAGUACUUAGAUGGAUGACCACUUGAGAAUACUGGGUAC
Non-coding RNA from Acanthosepion pharaonis, 107 nucleotides. NCBI's taxonomy places the organism in Eukaryota, Metazoa, Mollusca, Cephalopoda, Sepiida, Sepiidae. The record is from the annotation of a GenBank genome assembly.